GACGAACGCUGGCGGCGUGCUUAACACAUGCAAGUCGAACGGUGAAGCGCCUUCCUUUUUGGUGGGUGUGGAUGAGUGGCGAACGGGUGAGUAACACGUGAGUAAUCUGCCCCCUUCUUCUGGAUAACCGCAUGAAAGUGUGGCUAAUACGGGAUAUUCUGGGUCUGUCGCAUGAUGGGUCUGGGAAAGAUAUUGUUUCGGUGGGGGAUGGGCUCGCGGCCUAUCAGCUUGUUGGUGGGGUGAUGGCCUACCAAGGCGGUGACGGGUAGCCGGCCUGAGAGGGUGGACGGUCACACUGGGACUGAGACACGGCCCAGACUCCUACGGGAGGCAGCAGUGGGGAAUAUUGCACAAUGGGCGCAAGCCUGAUGCAGCGACGCCGCGUGAGGGAUGGAGGCCUUCGGGUUGUGAACCUCUUUCGCCAGUGAAGCAGGCCUGCCUCGUUUGUGGGUGGGUUGACGGUAGCUGGAUAAGAAGCGCCGGCUAACUACGUG
Molecule: ribosomal RNA, 494 nt
Filed under: uncultured bacterium
Lineage: Bacteria
Description: partial 16S ribosomal RNA
Rfam family: Bacterial small subunit ribosomal RNA
Source: RNAcentral